RNAcentral lists this ribosomal RNA (447 nucleotides) under uncultured Escherichia sp. Its description in RNAcentral is "bacterial SSU rRNA". It matches the Rfam family "Bacterial small subunit ribosomal RNA", at positions 29 to 472 of the family's 1533-position model. Lineage: Bacteria; Pseudomonadati; Pseudomonadota; Gammaproteobacteria; Enterobacterales; Enterobacteriaceae. The record is from RNAcentral.
AUGAACGCUGGCGGCAGGCCUAACACAUGCAAGUCGAACGGUAACAGGAAGCAGCUUGCUGCUUUGCUGACGAGUGGCGGACGGGUGAGUAAUGUCUGGGAAACUGCCCGAUGGAGGGGGAUAACUACUGGAAACGGUAGCUAAUACCGCAUAACGUCGCAAGACCAAAGAGGGGGACCUUCGGGCCUCUUGCCAUCGGAUGUGCCCAGAUGGGAUUAGCUAGUAGGUGGGGUAAAGGCUCACCUAGGCGACGAUCCCUAGCUGGUCUGAGAGGAUGACCAGCCACACUGGAACUGAGACACGGUCCAGACUCCUACGGGUGGCAGCAGUGGGGAAUAUUGCACAAUGGGCGCAAGCCUGAUGCAGCCAUGCCGCGUGUAUGAAGAAGGCCUUCGGGUUGUAAAGUACUUUCAGCGGGGAGGAAGGGAGUAAAGUUAAUACCUUUGC